RNAcentral lists this ribosomal RNA (252 nucleotides) under uncultured bacterium. RNAcentral's name for it is "partial 16S ribosomal RNA". It matches the Rfam family "Bacterial small subunit ribosomal RNA", at positions 524 to 776 of the family's 1533-position model. The record is from RNAcentral.
UACGUAGGGGGCUAGCGUUGUCCGGAAUCAUUGGGCGUAAAGAGCGUGUAGGCGGCCCGGUAAGUCCGCUGUGAAAGUCGGGGGCUCAACCCUCGGAUGCCGGUGGAUACUGUCGGGCUCGAGUACGGAAGAGGCGAGUGGAAUUCCUGGUGUAGCGGUGAAAUGCGCAGAUAUCAGGAGGAACACCUAUUGCGAAGGCAGCUCGCUGGGACGUUACUGACGCUGAGACGCGAAACGUGGGGAGCAAACAGG